RNAcentral lists this ribosomal RNA (926 nucleotides) under archaeon BC8. RNAcentral's name for it is "bacterial SSU rRNA". It matches the Rfam family "Archaeal small subunit ribosomal RNA", at positions 44 to 974 of the family's 1478-position model. The record is from RNAcentral.
AUUAGCCAUGCUAGUUGCACGAGUUCAGACUCGUAGCAUAUAGCUCAGUAACACGUGGCCAAACUACCCUACAGACCGCGAUAACCUCGGGAAACUGAGGCCAAUAGCGGAUAUAACUCUCAGACUGGAGUGUCGAGAGUUAGAAACGUUCCGGCGCUGUAGGAUGUGGCUGCGGCCGAUUAGGUAGAUGGUGGGGUAACGGCCCACCAUGCCGAUAAUCGGUACGGGUUGUGAGAGCAAGAGCCUGGAGACGGUAUCUGAGACAAGAUACCGGGCCCUACGGGGCGCAGCAGGCGCGAAACCUUUACACUGCACGACAGUGCGAUAGGGGGACUCCGAGUGUGAGGGCAUAUAGCCCUCGCUUUUCUGUACCGUAAGGUGGUACAGGAACAAGGACUGGGCAAGACCGGUGCCAGCCGCCGCGGUAAUACCGGCAGUCCAAGUGAUGGCCGAUAUUAUUGGGCCUAAAGCGUCCGUAGCUUGCUGUGUAAGUCCGUUGGGAAAUCGACGAGCUCAACUGGUCGGCGUCCGGUGGAAACUGCCCGGCUUGGGGCCGAAAGACUCGACGGGUACGUCCGGGGUAGGAGUGAAAUCCUGUAAUCCUGGACGGACCACCAAUGGGGAAACCACGUUGAGAGACCGGACCCGACAGUGAGGGACGAAAGCUAGGGUCUCGAACCGGAUUAGAUACCCGGGUAGUCCUAGCUGUAAACGAUGCUCGCUAGGUAUGUCAUGCGCCAUGAGCAUGUGCUGCGCCGUAGUGAAGACGAUAAGCGAGCUGCCUGGGAAGUACGUCUGCAAGGAUGAAACUUAAAGGAAUUGGCGGGGGAGCACCACAACCGGAGGAGCCUGCGUUUAAUUGGACUCACGCCGGACAUCUCACNGUCCUGACAGUAGUAAUGACGGUCAGGUGACGACCUUACCGA